AACAAAAUGCCCGCACAUGUGGCGAGCUCGGUAGCGGGCGAUUCCUGCUUCGGGCCUAACACAUGCAAGUCGAGCGGAGAUGAGGUGCUUGCACCUUAUCUUAGCGGCGGACGGGUGAGUAAUGCUUAGGAAUCUGCCUAUUAGUGGGGGACAACAUUCCGAAAGGGAUGCUAAUACCGCAUACGUCCUACGGGAGAAAGCAGGGGAUCUUCCGACCUUGCGCUAAUAGAUGAGCCUAAGUCGGAUUAGCUAGUUGGUGGGGUAAAGGCCUACCAAGGCGACGAUCUGUAGCGGGUCUGAGAGGAUGAUCCGCCACACUGGGACUGAGACACGGCCCAGACUCCUACGGGAGGCAGCAGUGGGGAAUAUUGGACAAUGGGGGGAACCCUGAUCCAGCCAUGCCGCGUGUGUGAAGAAGGCCUUAUGGUUGUAAAGCACUUUAAGCGAGGAGGAGGCUACUGAGACUAAUACUCUCGGAUAGUGGACGUUACUCGCAGAAUAAGCACCGGCUAACUCUGUGCCAGCAGCCGCGGUAAUACAGAGGGUGCGAGCGUUAAUCAGAUUUACUGGGCGUAAAGCGUGCGUAGGCGGCUUUUUAAGUCGGAUGUGAAAUCCCCGAGCUUAACUUGGGAAUUGCAUUCGAUACUGG
Molecule: ribosomal RNA, 649 nt
Filed under: uncultured bacterium
Lineage: Bacteria
Description: bacterial SSU rRNA
Rfam family: Bacterial small subunit ribosomal RNA
Source: RNAcentral